RNAcentral lists this ribosomal RNA (331 nucleotides) under uncultured eukaryote. RNAcentral describes it as "partial 18S ribosomal RNA". It matches the Rfam family "Eukaryotic small subunit ribosomal RNA", at positions 1470 to 1796 of the family's 1831-position model. The record is from RNAcentral.
CCCUUAGAUGUUCUGGGCUGCACGCGCGCUACACUGAUGCGUUCAACGAGUUUACGACCUUGCCAGACAUGGCUGGGUAAUCUUCUUAAACUGCAUCGUGAUGGGGAUAGAUUAUUGCAAUUAUUGAUCUUCAACGAGGAAUUCCUAGUAAGCGCGAGUCAUCAGCUCGUGCUGAUUACGUCCCUGCCCUUUGUACACACCGCCCGUCGCUCCUACCGAUUGAAUGAUUUAGUGAGGACUUCGGACUGGGACCGAUGCGGCUUUCGGGCUGCGUCGGUAUUCUGGAAAGAUGUCCAAACUGUAUCAUUUAGAGGAAGUAAAAGUCGUAACA